This 110-nucleotide small nucleolar RNA is filed under the name Carlito syrichta (Philippine tarsier). The record is from RNAcentral. Lineage: Eukaryota; Metazoa; Chordata; Mammalia; Primates; Tarsiidae.
GCACUGCCUUUGAGCCCCUUGCCACCCCUCUGCAUGGUGUAGGGGGUUAGGCUGCAGGGCCAGAGCACAUAUGCUUAUGCAGGCAUCCCUUUUAACUGGGAGUGACAAGG